UGGGGAAUUUUGGACAAUGGGGGCAACCCUGAUCCAGCGACGCCGCGUGGAGGACGAAGGUCUUCGGAUUGUAAACUCCUUUUGGAGGGGAUGAAUGUCUGCGUGAAAAACGCAGAGUGACAGUACUCUCUGAAUAAGCCACGGCUAACUACGUGCCAGCAGCCGCGGUAAUACGUAGGUGGCAAGCGUUACUCGGAAUCACUAGGCGUAAAGCGCAGGUAGGCGGCUCGACAAGUCUCUUGUGAAAGCUCCCGGCUCAACUGGGAGAGGUCAAGGGAAACUGUCGGGCUGGAGUGUGGUAGAGGAGACUGGAAUUCCCGGUGUAGCGGUGAAAUGCGUAGAUAUCGGGAGGAAUACCUAUGGCGAAAGCAGGUCUCUGGGCCAUCACUGACGCUGAGCUGCGAAAGCUAGGGGAGCAAACAG
RNAcentral lists this ribosomal RNA (423 nucleotides) under uncultured bacterium. RNAcentral's name for it is "bacterial SSU rRNA". It matches the Rfam family "Bacterial small subunit ribosomal RNA", at positions 355 to 775 of the family's 1533-position model. The record is from RNAcentral.